GAUGAACGCUAGCGGAAGGCUUAAUACAUGCAAGUCGAGCGGUAGGUGGCUUCGGCCAUUGAGAGCGGCGCACGGGUGAGUAACGCGUACAUGACCUGCCUGUCAGAAGGGGAUAGCCCUGGGAAACUGGGAUUAAUACCCUAUGGUAUUGAUAUUAUGAAUGAUAUCAAUUAAAGUUGAGGCGCUGACAGAUGGAUGUGCGUCUGAUUAGCUAGUUGGUAGGGUAACGGCCUACCAAGGCGACGAUCAGUAGGGGGCGUGAGAGCGUGGUCCCCCACACGGGUACUGAGACACGGACCCGACUCCUACGGGAGGCAGCAGUAAGGAAUAUUGGUCAAUGCCCGCAAGGGUGAACCAGCCAUUCCGCGUGGAGGAUGAAGGCCCUAUGGGUUGUAAACUUCUUUUAGAUGGGAAGAAAAUGCUAGAUGUAUCUGGUACUGACGGUACCAUCAGAAUAAGCACCGGCUAACUCCGUGCCAGCAGCCGCG
RNAcentral lists this ribosomal RNA (488 nucleotides) under uncultured bacterium. Its description in RNAcentral is "bacterial SSU rRNA". It matches the Rfam family "Bacterial small subunit ribosomal RNA", at positions 28 to 519 of the family's 1533-position model. The record is from RNAcentral.